This 259-nucleotide unclassified non-coding RNA is filed under the name uncultured Gemmatimonadaceae bacterium. RNAcentral describes it as "contains 16S-23S intergenic spacer region". It matches the Rfam family "Bacterial small subunit ribosomal RNA", at positions 524 to 763 of the family's 1533-position model. The record is from RNAcentral. Lineage: Bacteria; Pseudomonadati; Gemmatimonadota; Gemmatimonadia; Gemmatimonadales; Gemmatimonadaceae.
UACAGAGGGCGCGAGCGUUGUCCGGAAUCACUGGGCGUAAAGGGCGCGUAGGUGGCGGUAUAAGGCUGUGGUGAAAGCCUGGGGCUCAACCCCAGGUCGGCCGUGGCAACUGUAUCGCUAGGGCACCGUAGAGGCAGAUGGAAUUCCGGGUGUAGCGGUGGAAUGCGUAGAGAUCCGGAAGAACACCAGUGGCGAAGGCGGUCUGCUGGGCGGUGAGCGCGCAAGCGCUCAAUAGCCGACACUGAGGCGCGACAGCGUG